UUACCGAGGUGCCGAAGGGAAACCGUGAAACGUGCCGCCUGGGAAGUACGGUCGCAAGGCUGAAACUUAAAGGAAUUGGCGGGGGAGCACCACAACAGGUGGAGCCUGCGGUUUAAUUGGACUCAACGCCGGGAAGCUCACCGGAUAAGACAGCAGAAUGAUUGCCGGGCUGAAGACUCUGCAUGACUAGCUGAGAGGAGGUGCAUGGCAUA
Molecule: ribosomal RNA, 212 nt
Filed under: uncultured Methanoculleus sp.
Lineage: Archaea; Methanobacteriati; Methanobacteriota; Methanomicrobia; Methanomicrobiales; Methanomicrobiaceae
Description: partial 16S ribosomal RNA
Rfam family: Archaeal small subunit ribosomal RNA
Source: RNAcentral